UACGGGGGGGGCAAGCGUUGUUCGGAAUUAUUGGGCGUAAAGGGCGCGUAGGCGGUGCGGCAAGUCUCCUGUGAAAUCUCCGGGCUUAACUCGGAGCCUGCAGGAGAAACUGCCGUGCUUGAGUGUGGGAGAGGUGAGUGGAAUUCCCAGUGUAGAGGUGAAAUUCGUAGAUAUUGGGAAGAACACCGGUGGCGAAGGCGGCUCACUGGCUCAUUACUGACGCUCAGGCGCGAUAGCGUGGGGAUCAAACAGG
This 253-nucleotide ribosomal RNA is filed under the name uncultured bacterium. RNAcentral describes it as "partial 16S ribosomal RNA". It matches the Rfam family "Bacterial small subunit ribosomal RNA", at positions 524 to 776 of the family's 1533-position model. The record is from RNAcentral.